AGCAGGGGGCGCUGUGAGGUAAUGGCUAGUCUUCUCCCGAGACCUCUGGAACGUAGCGUAAAAGGCCAGGAGGGGAAGCCGGCUAAGGGGCGUUCUAUCUUCGACUGCCCUGGUCUCUAUCACCCUUUGUCCUCCAGCCUCCCCUGCGCGCAGGGCCUGCGGGCCUGGUUGCUAGGCGGAAGCGGGGCGCGGUGGCGGCCGCGGCGGCUGCCCGGGCGUUUGAAAAGCGGCUACGCGGGCGGCAAAAGACCCCGCCUGUGGGCCGCCGACCGCGACCAUGGUCUCCAAGUCCGACCAACUGCUCAUCGUCGUGUCCAUCCUCGAAGGU
RNAcentral lists this long non-coding RNA (328 nucleotides) under Sus scrofa (pig). RNAcentral describes it as "lncRNA (ENSSSCG00065049190.1)". Lineage: Eukaryota; Metazoa; Chordata; Mammalia; Artiodactyla; Suidae. The record is from RNAcentral.